Formica exsecta is the source of this 1365-nucleotide RNA transcript. RefSeq lists it as uncharacterized. The transcript has 6 exons. The record is from RefSeq and is a predicted model, not a curated record. Lineage: Eukaryota; Metazoa; Arthropoda; Insecta; Hymenoptera; Formicidae.
GGAGUUGGCUCUCUUGACACUAAAUAUAAAUAACUAUUAUUGUUUACAGUUUUGACAAUUCGAACGAGAGAGAUUUAGAUCUGAAAAAGAUAAUAUAAAAAGCUAGGAGAUAUUUUUACAAAUGCAAGAUAGAUUAUAAAGUAAAAUUGUUUAUGUCUACAUUUAAAGAGAGGUUAUAUUAAUUGAUUUAUUUCAAUAUAUAUAUACAAUGACACGUGUAUGCAUCUGUUGCAAAUAUCGUGUAAUUCAAACACAUGUCACGACAGACAUAUCGCUUUACGGGUUACCAAAAAAUGACGAAUUACUGAAGAAAUGGUUGCUUGCGAUCGGCAAAACGGAGAGGAAAAUCUGCGAAUCGUCGCGAAUAUGUUCACGUCAUUUUAAGGAAGACGACUUCAGAUACAGCAUAGUCGGAGGCAAACGUUUUUUAAAGCGAGGUGCGAUACCGUCUCUUCAUUUGAAUGAGGAGAGCAAGGAUGAUCGGUUUUCUGACACUGGAGACGUGGUGGAAACUAUGGACAACAAAUCGUUAAAUAUUGCAAUAUUGCAAGUAGAUGCUAGAAAAAAUAAUCAAUUGUCGAGUAUCAUUGGAAUGAAGGUGAUCGCUGAGGAUACAUGCGAGAAUACUGAAUUUGUCGCUCACGAAUGCGAUGGUAAAACACAAGUGCCUGAAAGAAUAUCAGCUUCUUCGUUAGACUCUUCUUCUUCAAAUGAGCCGGAGAAGAAACAUAAGAAACAUUUAUAUGAUGUUCGAUGGGAAGAGAUUUCUACAUCUCCGGUGCAAGCUAAAAUUUAUUGGGAAGUGGCAAUUAAAAGAAUUACACGGCAAAAGACGGCCGUUGUCGAGGACGAGCCCAUGGGGAGCUCUCACUGUUUUGUAGCGGACCAUUUGCCACUCACCCUUUGGACAUUUGUUACGAGUUGUUGGGCGCUUCGAUUGCUAUCACCUUUUGGAUUAUUUGGAGACGGAUCCUGCAACAAAGUGGCUGUUGCGACAAUAGGGAAAUCGAAAACUUUUGCACGCACCCUCGAAUUCAGGAUGCUAAUUGGUGGGUGGUUAGCUCGUAGCCACCAGCAAGUUUUCCAAGAUUUAUGAGCGCUGUGGCUAAAGGCGUGAAUAAGCCCGGGUCACAGUCGGUAGGAAGGGUAACGCAAGAUUUUGAAUUAAAUGUCAACCGCACGGAUGAGACACGAAACUAACAUCGUCUAGCCGCGAUGUCUGGGAAUAACGACACUGCCAGCAACUUCGCGCAUUAUUUCCAUCCGUUGGUGAUUCAUGAAUUGAUAGAUUCGGAAAUCUAGACAUAAAAAUAGAACAAGGGUUGUCUACGAAAUAUGGAGAGAUUUUGAGAUUCGCCGAUUUAC